GUCUUCCUUCCUCAGGUGCAGCUAGCAUGUUAAAUACUGUAUUAACCCCUGUCUUCCUUCCUCAGGUGCAGCUAGCAUGUUAAAUACUGUAUUAACCCUGUCUUCCUUCCUCAGGUGCAGCUAGCAUGUUAAAUACUGUAUUAACCCUGUCUUCCUUCCUCAGGUGCAGCUAGCAUGUUAAAUACUGUAUUAGCCCUGUCUUCCUUCCUCAGGUGCAGCUAGCAUGUUAAAUACUGUAUUAACCCCUGUUUUCCUUCCUCAGGUGCAGCUAGCAUGUUAAAUACUGCACUACCCCCUGUCUUCCUUCCUCAGGUGCAGCUAGCAUGUUAAAUGCUGUAUUAACCCUGUCUUCCUUCCUCAGGUGCAGCUAGCAUGUUAAAUACUGUAUUAACCCUGUCUUCCUUCCUCAGGUACAGCUAGCAUGUUAAAUACUGUAUUAACCCUGUCUUCCUUCCUCAGGUGCAGCUAGCAUGUUAAAUACUGUAUUAACCCUGUCUUCCUUCCUCAGGUACAGCUAGCAUGUUAAAUACUGUAUUAACCCCUGUCUUCCUUCCUCAGGUACAGCUAGCAUGUUAAAUACUGUAUUAACCCUGUCUUCCUUCCUCAGGUACAGCUAGCAUGUUAAAUACUGUAUUAACCCUGUCUUCCUUCCUCAGGUGCAGCUAGCAUGUUAAAUACUGUAUUAACCCUGUCUUCCUUCCUCAGGUACAGCUAGCAUGUUAAAUACUGUAUUAACCCUGUCUUCCUUCCUCAGGUGCAGCUAGCAUGUUAAAUACUGUAUUAACC
Long non-coding RNA from Oncorhynchus keta (chum salmon), 786 nucleotides. RefSeq lists it as uncharacterized. The record is from RefSeq and is a predicted model, not a curated record. Lineage: Eukaryota; Metazoa; Chordata; Actinopteri; Salmoniformes; Salmonidae. The transcript has 3 exons.